RNAcentral lists this unclassified non-coding RNA (377 nucleotides) under Bacillus sp. (in: firmicutes). Its description in RNAcentral is "Bacillus sp. (in: Bacteria) contains 16S-23S intergenic spacer region". Lineage: Bacteria; Bacillati; Bacillota; Bacilli; Caryophanales; Bacillaceae. The record is from RNAcentral.
UCCGGUUUGUCACCGGCAGUCACCUUAGAGUGCCCAACUUAAUGCUGGCAACUAAGAUUAAGGGUUGCGCUCGUUGCGGGACUUAACCCAACAUCUCACGACACGAGCUGACGACAACCAUGCACCACCUGUCUCCCCUGCUCCGAAAAGCACGCAUAUCUCUACACGCUUCAGGAGGAUGUCAAGCCCUGGUAAGGUCCUUCGCGUUGCUUCGAAUUAAACCACAUGCUCCACUGCUUGUGCGGGCCCCCGUCAAUUCCUUUGAGUUUCAACCUUGCGGCCGUACUCCCCAGGCGGAGUGCUUAUUGUGUUGACUUCAGCACCAUGGGUAUCGAAACCCUUGACACCUAGCACUCAUCGUUUACGGCGUGGACUAC